AAGUCGUAACAAGGUUUCCGUAGGUGAACCUGCGGAAGGAUCAUUAAUGAGUUAGGGUCUCCGGGCCCGACCUCCAACCCUUUGUUGUCACAAAACCAAUUGUUGCUUUGGCGUUGGACCGCCCGGCGACGGGCCUGCCGGGCUCCUUGAGGCCCGGCAUUGGCCGGCCCAGCCAGGACGGCAAAACCGAAAACCAUCUUGUUCAUCAAACCAGCUACGUCUGAGUAAAAAUGAUUAAAUCAAUCAAAA
RNAcentral lists this unclassified non-coding RNA (249 nucleotides) under plant metagenome. Its description in RNAcentral is "partial contains small subunit ribosomal RNA and internal transcribed spacer 1". The stretch from base 1 to 46 matches the Rfam family "Eukaryotic small subunit ribosomal RNA", at positions 1786 to 1831 of the family's 1831-position model. The record is from RNAcentral.